UCAAGCUACAAAGGGCGCAUGGUGAAUGCCUUGGCAUCAGGAGCCGAUGAAGGACGUGAUAAGCUGCGAUAAGCUUCGGGUAGGCGCACAUAGCCAGUGAUCCGGAGAUUUCCGAAUGUGGGAACACACAUGGGAAACCCCAUGUAUCGUAUAGUGAAUACAUAGCUAUACGAGGGUAAACCUAGGGAACUGAAACAUCUAAGUACCUAGAGGAAGAGAAAGAAAAAUCGAUUUCCUAAGUAGCGGCGAGCGAAAGGGAAAUAGCCCAAACCAAAGAUUUAUCUUUGGGGUUGCGGACAGAGCAUUAACGAGAAGUCGUAACUAACCGAACACAACUGGAAAGUUGGACCGUAGGAGGUAAUAGUCCUGUAGGUGAAAGUUAAGAUAAUCAAGCUCUGAUCCAGAGUACCACGAGACACGUGAAACCUUGUGGGAAGCAGGGAGGACCACCUCCCAAGGCUAAAUACUACCUGAUGACCGAUAGUGAAGCAGUACCGUGAGGGAAAGGUGAAAAGAACCCCGGGAGGGGAGUGAAAUAGAACCUGAAACCGUGUGCCUACAACCGGUCAAAGCCCCAUAUGAGGGUGAUGACGUGCUUUUUGUAGAACGAGCCAACGAGUUACGGUAUGUAGCAAGGUUAAGUACUUAAGGUACGGAGCCGAAGGGAAACCGAGUCUUAAUAGGGCGACUAGUUGCAUGCCGUAGACCCGAAACCGGGUGACCUAUCCAUGGCCAGGUUGAAGCGAGGGUAAAACUUCGUGGAGGACCGAACCACGUUGCUGUUGAAAAAGCAUGGGAUGAGCUGUGGAUAGCGGAGAAAUUCCAAUCGAACUCGGAGAUAGCUGGUUCUCCCCGAAAUAGCUUUAGGGCUAGCGUCGGAUAUGUGUAGUGGAGGUAGAGCACUGAAUGGGCUAGGGGGCAUAUCGCUUACCGAACCUUAUCAAACUCCGAAUGCCAUAUACAUUUAGUCCGGCAGUCAGACUACGAAUGAUAAGAUCCGUGGUCAAAAGGGAAACAGCCCAGAUCGUCAGCUAAGGUCCCAAAGUGUAAGUUAAGUGGAAAAGGAUGUGGGAUUUCUAAGACAACUAGGAUGUUGGCUUAGAAGCAGCCACUCAUUUAAAGAGUGCGUAAUAGCUCACUAGUCGAGAGAUCCUGCGCCGAAAAUGUCCGGGGCUCAAACUUACCACCGAAGCUACGGGCUUGCGUAAGCAAGCGGUAGGGGAGCGUCGUAAUCGGGCUGAAGUCGUACCGUAAGGAGCGGUGGACUGAUUACGAGUGAGAAUGUUGGCAUUAGUAGCGAGAUGUAGGUGAGAAUCCUACAGGCCGAAUAUCUAAGGUUUCCUCAGGAAGGCUCGUCCGCUGAGGGUUAGUCGGGACCUAAGCCGAGGCCGAAAGGCGUAGGCGAUGGACAAUCGGUUGAUAUUCCGAUACCACUACCAUCGUUAUUAUCGAGGGUGUGACGGAGAAGGAUAGUGUGUGCUAGCGAUUGGAAAUGCUAGUCUAAGCGUUUAGGGAGUUACGGUAGGCAAAUCCGCUGUAACAAUUCUGAGGCGUGAUGGGGAAGGCCAUAUAGGCCGAAGUACAUGAUUCCAUGCUUCCAAGAAAAGCAUCUAGAGAGAGAAGUAGUGCCCGUACCGCAAACCGACACAGGUAGAUGAGGAGAGAAUCCUAAGGCCGGCGGAAGAAUUGCAGUUAAGGAACUAGGCAAAUUGACCCCGUAAGUUCGCGAGAAGGGGUGCCUGCGAGAGCAGGCCGCAGAGAAUAGGCCCAAGCAACUGUUUAGCAAAAACACAGGUCUCUGCUAAAGCGUAAGCUGAUGUAUAGGGGCUGACGCCUGCCCGGUGCUGGAAGGUUAAGGGGAACACUUAGCGCAAGCGAAGGUGUGAACUUAAGCCCCAGUAAACGGCGGCCGUAACUAUAACGGUCCUAAGGUAGCGAAAUUCCUUGUCAGGUAAGUUCUGACCCGC
RNAcentral lists this ribosomal RNA (1967 nucleotides) under human gut metagenome. Its description in RNAcentral is "bacterial LSU rRNA". It matches the Rfam family "Bacterial large subunit ribosomal RNA", at positions 3 to 1991 of the family's 2925-position model. The record is from RNAcentral.